UUACAACCGGUCGGAGCCACUUUGUGUGGUGACGGCGUGCCUAUUGAAUAAUGAGCCUACGAGUUACUAAUCACUGGCGAGGUUAAGUGCAUGAAUGCACGGAGCCGAAGCGAAAGCGAGUCUGAACAGGGCGGCUAGUCAGUGGUUGUAGACGCGAAACCUUGCGAUCUACCCUUGAGCAGGAUGAAGGUUGGGUAACACCAACUGGAGGUCCGCACGAAUAAGCGUUGAAAAGCUUCUCGAUGACUUGAGGGUAGGGGUGAAAGGCUAAUCAAGCUGGGAAAUAGCUCGUACUCCCCGAAAUGCCUUUAGGGGCAGCGUUGCAAGAGUCUACCGGAGGUAGAGCUACUGAUUGGAUGCGGGGGCUUCACCGCCUACCAAAUCCCGACAAACUCCGAAUGCCGGCAGUAUGAUUUGCAGCAGUGAGCCAGUGGGUGCUAAUGUCCAUUGACAAAAGAGGAACAACUCAGACCAGCAACUAAGGUCCCCAAGCAUAUGCUAAGUUAAACUAACGAUGUUUUGUUGCAUAGACAGCUAGGAUGUUAGCUUGGAAGCAGCUAUUCAUUCAAAGAGUGCGUAACAGCUCACUAGUCGAGCGACAGAGCGUGGAUAAUAAACGGGUAUCAAGCAUAUCACCGAAGUUCUGGACACGAAAGUGUGGUAGGGGAGCAUUCCAUUCAGCGUCGAAGCAGUGUCGUGAGACAUUGUGGAGCGUAUGGAAAAGCAAAUGUAGGCAUAAGUAACGACAAUGCGGGCGAGAAACCCGCACACCGCAAGACCAAGGUUUCCUGAUCAACGCUAAUCGGAUCAGGGUUAGUCGGGUCCUAAGGUUAAGCCGCUAGGCGAUAUCGAUGGACAAUCGGUUAAUAUUCCGAUACUGACAUACACCUCGAUGGAGGGACGAAGGAACGUAAGUGACGCGAACUGACGGAAUAGUUCGUUAAAGGCCGUAGGUAAAUCUUCUGAUUAAGAGUUAGGGGAUGCUGAAAGCUGACAGUACCGAGAGUCUUCGGACAAUCGGAUAGUUCACCCAAGUAGACUUCCGAGAAAAUCUUCUAAGUUAUAGUGUAUGUCACCCGUACCGUAAACCGACACAGGUGGUCGAGGAGAGUAUCCUAAGGUGCUCGAGUGAGUCACGGUUAAGGAACUAGGCAAAUUAACCCCGUAACUUCGGGACAAGGGGUCCCAUCCUCCGCGAGGGGCGCAGCGAAGAGGUCCAGGCGACUGUUUAUCAAAAACACAGGGCUCUGCAAAUUCGAAAGAAGAAGUAUAGGGCCUGACACCUGCCCGGUGCUGGAAGGUUAAGAGGGGAUGUCAUCGCAAGAGAAGCAUUGAAUCGAAGCCCCAGUAAACGGCGGCCGUAACUAUAACGGUCCUAAGGUAGCGAAAUUCCUUGUCGGGUAAGUUCCGACCUGCACGAAUGGUGUAACGAUCUGGACACUGUCUCAACCGUGAGCUCGGUGAAAUUGUAGUCCCGGUGAAGAUGCCGGGUACCCGCAACGGGACGAAAAGACCCCGUGAACCUUUACUGCAGCUUAACGCUGAAUUUGGGUACAUAAUGUGUAGGAUAGGCCGGAGACUGUGAGUCGGGUACGCCAGUAUUCGUGGAGUCGACGUUGAAAUACUGCCCUUUGUGUAUUUGAGUUCUAACCAUGCGAAUGCGCGGACACCGUUUGGUGGGUAGUUUGACUGGGGUGGUCGCCUCCAAAAGAGUAACGGAGGCUUCCCAAGGUGCCCUCAGUACGAAUGGUAACCGUACGAAGAGUGCAAUAGCAUAAGGGCGCUUGACUGUGAGACCAACAAGUCGACCAGGUGCGAAAGCAGGGUAUAGUGAUCCGGUGGUUCUGUGUGGACU
Molecule: ribosomal RNA, 1855 nt
Filed under: human gut metagenome
Description: bacterial LSU rRNA
Rfam family: Bacterial large subunit ribosomal RNA
Source: RNAcentral